AUAGGCGUGCAUUUUAAUGCUUUUAUUCAAAAUAUUGUCGUAAACAUAGCCCAUAAAAAAUUAUCAGUGGUUGCUAGCAGUCUUGACAAUUUUUUUUUCUUCGCAGUUGAUAUAUGAUGUGCAUGCGAUAAUCUGUUUUCUAACUGUCAUGUCCGCAUUUUUACGAAAAUUUGUUUACGCGGAUAUUGCAGCUUAUUGUAACAAUAGCCCAUAAAAAAUUAUCAGUGGUUGUUAGCAGUCUUGGCAAUUUUUUUUGUAACUGUCAUGUUCGCGUUUUUACGAAAAUUUAUUUGCAUGGAUAAUGCGACUUAUUUUCGUUCUUGGUGAAAUUUGAAAGAAAUGUUUUGCUAUUAGUAACUAUAAAUACGCUGCGUAUAAUUAUUCGGUUGAUUUCUUGGUUCAAAGUAUAUAUUCGAGUUGAUUCAUUCGCCUGCGUUUUACUUCAAAAUGUCAAGAGAAAAAUCCGUACUUUUGUUGGUGCUAAGUAUCGAGAUGGCAUAAAUGUAUUUCUUACGAGCGAAUGUUUUGUGCAAGCGCUCUCUUCCGAAAUCAUAGGACCUAUAAACGAGAUCGUCGACAACGUAUGCAGAAUAGCUUUUGACCCCAGGGUAGACCUCUCGCAAAUUAUUGUUAACUUUGCGAAAACGUGUCGGAAUAGAUUUCCAGAAUGUAAACGUUCAAAAAGAUCUGAAAAGCCACGGCCUGAGUAUUGUGAAAGGAUUUACCAAACGGCACGACAGUCAAAUCGUAAUACGUAAUUAUAAAUCAGAGUCCGGCGAAGAUGACGGACACAGAUCUCGAACUAAUACUGAGUGAUCCGAAAAAUCGGAUCGUUUAAAAUUUUUAUCACCAUUAGAGUCUUUGAAUACAAAUAUGAAAAAUUGAAAAUAGUAGUAGGUAUUCUCUUCCAUUUUGCAACAAGUAAUAUCCCACAUUGCAUCAGUGAUUAUUUUAACUUGAAGCUCCGCACAUUUUGUGUAGUUCCAAAAAUUUGUUGUGCAGUACCAACAUAUUUGUGUAGUACCAAAAAUAGAUAUUUACUGAUUUACUUGGGAGUUUUUCAAUGAAAAAAAAAAUUGAAAAAAGAGCUAAUAUUGUGCUUGAAAAAUGUUUUUGUUCAAACUGUUAAAAAUACCUACGUAUCAGUGGGGGAAAAACUGACUUUUCACAUCAAAAUUAUUGCUGUUUUGCUUAUUGAAACAGCGAAUUUCAAAAGGCUUUUGCUCUCGAUUCGCUCGGGUCAAUUUAAUUUUCUUCACUCUUCAAGUUUCAAGAAAUUAUCGAUGAAAUUUUUCAACAGUUGAGAUCAGAAAAACUGAAUUCUUACAUUAAAAUUGAUAUUGUUCUACUUUUCGAACUACAAAAUUUUCAAAAUUUUCGCCCUCGCUUCGCUUGGGCCAAUUUUGUUAUUUUAUACGCAAUCCCCAUUUUAAAAAAACCUAUGAUUGAAUUUGAAAAAUGUUGAAAUCAGAAAAACAGAAUAGAUAGUUUUCGACUAACUUUGUCUGGCUGUUGAGGGGGGGGGGGUGGUAAGAAAAUCAGGGAGAGUUGGAAAAAUAAGGGGGGAAUCUUGAUACAGAAAAUUAUCCUGGUUGUGUUUGUGUAGCUCCAAAAAAUUCUUAAAAUAAUCCCUGCAUUGCAUGUUGAUCGGUGUACGUACUUACGACGAAUUUUUCAUUUUGAUAGGUAAGGUAUUUCAAUUUUAUCAAUUUAAUCUAAAUUUGAAAUAACAUUGAAUAAAAUAAUUUUCAUUUGAAA
This is a long non-coding RNA of Planococcus citri (citrus mealybug), 1758 nucleotides long. RefSeq lists it as uncharacterized. The transcript has 2 exons. The record is from RefSeq and is a predicted model, not a curated record. NCBI's taxonomy places the organism in Eukaryota, Metazoa, Arthropoda, Insecta, Hemiptera, Pseudococcidae.